CUGGGGAUUGAACUCAGGGGCACUCGACCACUGAGCCACAUCCGCAGCCCUAUUUUGUAUUUUAUUUAGAGACAGGGUCUCACUGAGUUGCUUAGUGCCUCACUUUUUGCUGAGGUUGGCUUUGAACUCACAGUUAAAAGUGUGUGCCACCACACCCAGAUUUUUUUUCUUUUUUGAGAAAUCCUCAAAAUUCUCAUUUUAAGAAUGGUCUUGCUAAGUUUUGCAAAGUUGCUGAGGCUGACCUUGAACUUGGGAUCUUCCUGCCUCAGCUUCCCCAGUCUCUGGGAUUACAGAUGUGCACUGUGCUUGGAUAGGGAAUGUCAUUUUAAAUAUCUUGCCCACAGAAGUGCUCACUGAGAAGGUGGCAUUUAAAAGACCUUUUUAGGGCUGGGGUGUAGCUGCACGGUAGAGCUCUUGCCUAGAUGCAGGAGGCCCUGGCAGAAGGACAGUUCACAGCCUAUAUCCACCACCAGCAUUCAGCAAUUGGUCGUAUUUUGCCACAUCUGCUGCUUCUCACUUUUCUGUACUUGAUGAACCAUUUAGAAUUCAUUUCAGACACCCACGGAGACUUCCCUUCGUGUCCUUUAGUGGCGAAGGCAUUCUUAUCAUUGUACCGCUCUACUACAUCCAAUUAACAAUAAUUCCGAAUAUCUCCCAGUUCUCUGUUGGAAGAGGCAUUUGACCAGCCAUGCGAAGCAGGUGAGAGGUGGGCCAUGUGAGUACCCGGCAGAAGAACAUGCCAGCAGAGGGGACAGCCACUGCAAAGGCCCUAGGCUGAGUUUUUAUCUCCCAGGAACUGAGAGGAGGACGAUGUGGCUGGACUGAAGUGAAUGAGCCAGGAGGACAGGUAAGAUAUGAGGGCAGAGAGGAAGGAUCCAGAUACCGCAGAGCCUUGUGGCCCUCGGCGAUCCCUUUGGCUUUUCUGCGUCAGCAGGUGCCCCUGGAAUUCGCGGGCCCAGGACGGACCUGACCUGCGGUAAGUGGGAACUGGCGCCCCCUCGCGGAGGUGCGGCGAAAGCCGGGAGCUUCGGGCGCGGAGGGUGAAGAGUCCAGGUGUGUCGCCCGUGCGCCGGCCCAGGUGGUGACCCGGGGACGGCCCGAAGCAGUGGGAUUCAGGAUGCAUUUUGAAGGUCACGCGAAUGGGAUUGUUAGGAAACUGACAUGUUAAUUGACACCCCUCCCUGCCAGGAGAGGAGAACGGGAAACAGGACUUCUUCCACGCGCUCUUUCGUGUGGUUGCAGGUGAUUCACGGAAGACGCUUCACGUCGCUUCCCUUCCUGCGGUCGAUCGAUCUGUGGAUGAACGUGUGGGUGGGUUCCAGUUGUAAGUUUUUACCAAUAAAGUUUAUGGCUGCAUCUAGCGGUAGCAUAUGCUAAUCAGCUGAAUUAAUCACUUCCCACCCACUACCCAUGUAGGGGAG
RNAcentral lists this long non-coding RNA (1421 nucleotides) under Marmota monax (woodchuck). The record is from RNAcentral. Lineage: Eukaryota; Metazoa; Chordata; Mammalia; Rodentia; Sciuridae.